UUUGAUCCUGGCUCAGAACGAACGCUGGCGGCAGGCCUAACACAUGCAAGUCGAGCGCGCCCUUCGGGGUGAGCGGCGGACGGGUUAGUAACGCGUGGGAAUAUGCCCAGAUCUACGGAAUAGCCUCGGGAAACUGAGAGUAAUACCGUAUACGCCCUUCGGGGGAAAGAUUUAUCGGAUUUGGAUUAGCCCGCGUUGGAUUAGGUAGUUGGUGGGGUAAUGGCCUACCAAGCCUACGAUCCAUAGCUGGUUUGAGAGGAUGAUCAGCAACACUGGGACUGAGACACGGCCCAGACUCCUACGGGAGGCAGCAGUGGGGAAUCUUAGACAAUGGGGGAAACCCUGAUCUAGCCAUGCCGUGUGAGUGACGAAGGCCCUAGGGUCGUAAAGCUCUUUCGCCAGGGAAGAUAAUGACGGUACCUGGUAAAGAAGUCCCGGCUAACUCCGUGCCAGCAGCCGCGGUAAUAAGGG
This 471-nucleotide ribosomal RNA is filed under the name uncultured bacterium. Its description in RNAcentral is "bacterial SSU rRNA". It matches the Rfam family "Bacterial small subunit ribosomal RNA", at positions 12 to 529 of the family's 1533-position model. The record is from RNAcentral.